AUGAACGCUAGCGACAGGCCUAACACAUGCAAGUCGAGGGGCAUCGGGGCGUAGCAAUACGCUGCCGGCGACCGGCGGAUGGGUGAGUAACGCGUAUGCAACCUGCCUUCAGCAGGGGGAUAGCCCGUUGAAAGACGGAUUAAUACCCCGUAACACAGGGGCUCCGCAUGGAGAUUAUUGUUAAAGGGAUGCUUCCUUCGGGGGGGUAUUCCGGCUGAAGAUGGGCAUGCGUUCCAUUAGGUAGUUGGUUGAGGUAACGGCUCACCAAGCCUGCGAUGGAUAGGGGAACUGAGAGGUUGGUCCCCCACACUGGUACUGAGACACGGACCAGACUCCUACGGGAGGCAGCAGUGAGGAAUCUUGGUCAAUGGACGGAAGUCUGAACCAGCCAUGUCGCGUGAAGGAGGACGGCCCUAAGGGUUGUAAACUUCUUUUGCAGGGGAAUAAAGUAUUCCACGAGAUGGGAUAUUGCAAGUACGCUGCGAAUAAGGAUCGGCUAACUCCGUG
This 507-nucleotide ribosomal RNA is filed under the name uncultured bacterium. Its description in RNAcentral is "bacterial SSU rRNA". It matches the Rfam family "Bacterial small subunit ribosomal RNA", at positions 29 to 507 of the family's 1533-position model. The record is from RNAcentral.